This 506-nucleotide ribosomal RNA is filed under the name uncultured bacterium. Its description in RNAcentral is "partial 16S ribosomal RNA". It matches the Rfam family "Bacterial small subunit ribosomal RNA", at positions 29 to 523 of the family's 1533-position model. The record is from RNAcentral.
AGUGAACGCUGGCGGUAGGCCUAACACAUGCAAGUCGAACGGCAGCACAGAGGAGCUUGCUCCUUGGGUGGCGAGUGGCGGACGGGUGAGGAAUACAUCGGAAUCUACUCUGUCGUGGGGGAUAACGUAGGGAAACUUACGCUAAUACCGCAUACGACCUACGGGUGAAAGCAGGGGACCUUCGGGCCUUGCGCGAUGGAAUGAGCCGAUGUCGGAUUAGCUAGUUGGCGGGGUAAAGGCCCACCAAGGCGACGAUCCGUAGCUGGUCUGAGAGGAUGAUCAGCCACACUGGAACUGAGAAACGGUCCAGACUCCUACGGGAGGCAGCAGUUGAGAAUAUUGGACAAUGGGCGCAAGCCUGAUCCAGCCAUACCGCGUGGGUGAAGAAGGCCUUCGGGUUGUAAAGCCCUUUUGUUGGGAAAGAAAUCAAGCUGGCUAAUACCCGGUUGGGAUGACGGUACCCAAAGAAUAAGCACCGGCUAACUUCGUGCCAGCCGCCGCAGUAA